Molecule: ribosomal RNA, 705 nt
Filed under: uncultured bacterium
Lineage: Bacteria
Description: bacterial SSU rRNA
Rfam family: Bacterial small subunit ribosomal RNA
Source: RNAcentral
AGAGUUUGAUCCUGGCUCAGGAUGAACGCUAGCGGCAGGCUUAAUACAUGCAAGUCGAGGGGCAGCAGCUUUAUAGCAAUAUAGAGGCUGGCGACCGGCAAACGGGUGCGGAACACGUACACAACCUUCCUUGAAUAGGGGGAUAGCCCAUAGAAAUGUGGAUUAAUACCCCGUAAUAUAGCGGUGUGGCAUCACACUGUUAUUAUAGUUUCGGCGAUUCGAGAUGGGUGUGCGGCUGAUUAGGUAGUUGGCGGGGUAAAGGCCCACCAAGCCUUCGAUCAGUAGCUGAUGUGAGAGCAUGAUCAGCCACACGGGCACUGAGACACGGGCCCGACUCCUACGGGAGGCAGCAGUAAGGAAUAUUGGUCAAUGGACGCAAGUCUGAACCAGCCAUGCCGCGUGAAGGAUGAAGGUCCUCUGGAUUGUAAACUUCUUUUAUAGGGGGCGAAAAAAGGUCUUUCUAGAUCACUUGACAGUACCCUAUGAAUAAGCACCGGCUAACUCCGUGCCAGCAGCCGCGGUAAUACGGAGGGUGCAAGCGUUAUCCGGAUUCACUGGGUUUAAAGGGUGCGUAGGCGGGUAGGUAAGUCAGAGGUGAAAUCCUGGAGCUUAACUCCAGAACUGCCUUUGAUACUAUCUAUCUUGAAUAUGGUGGAGGUAAGCGGAAUAUGUCAUGUAGCGGUGAAAUGCAUAGAUAUGACAUAG